Long non-coding RNA from Neodiprion fabricii, 541 nucleotides. RefSeq lists it as uncharacterized. The record is from RefSeq and is a predicted model, not a curated record. The transcript is spliced from 3 exons. NCBI's taxonomy places the organism in Eukaryota, Metazoa, Arthropoda, Insecta, Hymenoptera, Diprionidae.
CUCACGCCAUCCGCGUAAGAGAACAGCAUCGAGUAUUAUACGUAAAAUUUUCCGACUAACUCGCUGUGCACUGCUGGCAGUAACUGACGGAAACCGCUGGGCAUCAGUCUUGCAGAUUUGCGACAGAGAGCGCGCUACACGAAUUCAAAAACCUUGAAUAAAAUCGAUGCUCACUAUCAUUGAAAACGAUCGAGCCAUACUUUCAAUGCCACAAAUAGACAUCCCAGGGCACAGGUUGAUAUUACUCGAUGGAACACUGACAAUGAUACCGAACGUUGUAUGUACGACAUGUGGGUGAUGGAUCAAUGAAAAAUCAAGUGCGAUUACGCAUUUUGUGAUAAUAUUAUCAUUAUCAGAAUUCAUUAAUGUGAGCCGACCGUAUACCGUGAUUCUGAAUAAUCACCGUGCACCCGCCUUAUUCAAUUCUUCAUCUGAUAAAUUGAGAAGUGAUAGCAAACCAAAUAGAUGCACCAACAAUAAACUAUAAACUAUGUAUCAUUAAGAGAUAAGACUUGUUUUUUGCACUUCAUUCACUGAUUUC